UACGUAGGGUGCAAGCGUUAAUCGGAAUUACUGGGCGUAAAGCGUGCGCAGGCGGUUUGGUAAGACAGAUGUGAAAUCCCCGGGCUCAACCUGGGAAUGGCAUUUGUGACUGCCCGGCUAGAGUGUGUCAGAGGGGGGUAGAAUUCCACGUGUAGCAGUGAAAUGCGUAGAUAUGUGGAGGAAUACCGAUGGCGAAGGCAGCCCCCUGGGAUAACACUGACGCUCAUGCACGAAAGCGUGGGGAGCAAACAGG
RNAcentral lists this ribosomal RNA (253 nucleotides) under uncultured bacterium. RNAcentral's name for it is "partial 16S ribosomal RNA". It matches the Rfam family "Bacterial small subunit ribosomal RNA", at positions 524 to 776 of the family's 1533-position model. The record is from RNAcentral.